CACCAGCAAUCAGCGACAUCGCGCCUGACAAAAGUUUUUCAAAUAAAAUAUUUCCACCCAAACGUCACUGCUGGUGCUGAGCUCGCGCGAUCGAGUGUGAAGUUUUUUUUGUGAUCUCAAUGAAAAAGGAUUUUUUUGAACUCACGCUGUACACAACAAGCUCUCUGAUCGAUCUGCAUGUCUUUUUCGGUGGAGGUGAUUUUUGUUGUUGUUAUUGUUGUGGCUGGCGACGAGAAGGCUCUCAUUUACGCUAGGUAUCUCAUAGACAGAAUGAGCCUGGUUUUUACGCCAAGCUGAUGUUUUCAGCAGCAGUCCGCUGUGGAGAAAAUUCAAGCAGUCUUAGGGGCCUGAAGUUUUUGCUGCUUCUUACCGGAUCGACAGUGGGAAAGAAGGUAUGUGCUGCCGUAGCUCAGAGAAAUCUUUGGCCAGGGUAGCCAAGAUGGCAUCACCCACAUCCUCCUCUCCUUCAGGUUCACUUGUAGGUUUGGCAUUCAUGCUUGACAUCUCCUUCAGUACUGUGUAGGUCUUCUCCUAUUGGUUUUUGUCUGCCCAUACCAUUUGCACUGCUCAGUGAUGUCGGCGACAGUCGCCUCCAGCUCACCAUUUUCCAUUUUUUCUUUACUUUUUGGAUACGCUGUGUGUCCUUGAGGUAGCAUUUGAGGCUGACCAGUUCUUCUACCUUUGUUUUGCAAACAUUCUUGUCUAGUGUUCAGUGAUCGAACCCAGUCAACGUUGAAGCACCCUUGUUAUUUCUUUCCGUUUCUUUUUAUUCUUGUACACCGCUGCCUGCAACCGUGCAUUUUAAUAGGUUUGCGAGAAUCUCUUUUCACCUGCAGCAACCAGAGUUUGAAAGUACCGACACAAACUGGAAGCAUGCCCAGUUUCCAGACAACUAGCUGCUUCAAAAAUUCUUAUGUCAGAUGAGUGACUGGUUGCACAGCCGACAUUAUGGUGACAUAAUGUGUCCUUGUAGUUCUGUUUAUUAUUACUUGUAUAUUUCACUGUUCGCGUCAAACUCGGCUAAAGGCCGAGUUUUCCGCAUCCGUAGGAACGCCAACACCCUUCAAGGAUCGUGUGUUUUUUUAUAGCAGUGUAUUUUGGUAUUUGCUUUGACCAUCAGUCGUUGGCUGAUGCUGGUCAUACCUUCAACAUGUUGACGCGUUUUUCAAGGCAUUCAAUAUACGUAGGCCGCAAGAUUCUAUCUUUUCAUACCGAAUACCGAUGGCUAGUGCUUCCCCACUAGCUGCGCAAGUGUCACAUCUGGCUGCGGCCAACUACCCUUUAA
Molecule: long non-coding RNA, 1285 nt
Organism: Sycon ciliatum
Lineage: Eukaryota; Metazoa; Porifera; Calcarea; Leucosolenida; Sycettidae
Exons: 2
Source: RefSeq, a predicted model, not a curated record